AGAGUUUGAUCCUGGCUCAGAACGAACGCUGGCGGCGUGCCUAAUACAUGCAAGUCGAUCGCGUAGCAAUACGAGAGGCGUACGGGAGCGUAACACGUAGGUAAUCUGCCCACGAGUGGGGAAUAACCAGUCGAAAGAUUGGCUAAUACCGCAUAAGACCACAGGGCCUCGGGUCUAGGGGUCAAAGGAGCAAUUCGCUU
This 200-nucleotide ribosomal RNA is filed under the name uncultured bacterium. RNAcentral describes it as "partial 16S ribosomal RNA". It matches the Rfam family "Bacterial small subunit ribosomal RNA", at positions 8 to 220 of the family's 1533-position model. The record is from RNAcentral.